This 458-nucleotide ribosomal RNA is filed under the name uncultured Myxococcales bacterium. Its description in RNAcentral is "bacterial SSU rRNA". It matches the Rfam family "Bacterial small subunit ribosomal RNA", at positions 341 to 792 of the family's 1533-position model. The record is from RNAcentral. Lineage: Bacteria; Pseudomonadati; Myxococcota; Myxococcia; Myxococcales.
ACGGAAGGCAGCAGUAGGGAAUCUUGCGCAAUGGACGAAAGUCUGACGCAGCGACGCCGCGUGAGCGAUGAAGGCCUUCGGGUCGUAAAGCUCUGUGGGGAGAGACGAAUAAGGUAUGGCUAACAUCCAUGCCGAUGACGGUAUCUCCUUAGCAAGCACCGGCUAACUCUGUGCCAGCAGCCGCGGUAAGACAGAGGGUGCAAACGUUGUUCGGAAUUACUGGGCGUAAAGCGCGCGUAGGUGGCCGUGCAAGUCGGGCGUGAAAUCCCAUGGCUCAACCAUGGAAGUGCACUCGAAACUGCACAGCUAGAGUCUCGGAGAGGAAGGCGGAAUGCUUGGUGUAGAGGUGAAAUUCGUAGAUAUCAAGCGGAACACCGGUGGCGAAGGCGGCCUUCUGGACGAUGACUGACGCUGAAGCGCGAAAGCGUGGGGAGCAAACAGGAUUAGAUACCCUGGUA